RNAcentral lists this long non-coding RNA (319 nucleotides) under Phoenix dactylifera (date palm). RNAcentral describes it as "long non-coding RNA (PDAC_LNC011511)". The record is from RNAcentral. Lineage: Eukaryota; Viridiplantae; Streptophyta; Magnoliopsida; Arecales; Arecaceae.
AACCAUUGUCGGCCGAUUCAGUAAAUAUUUCUUUUAACAGAUAUUCUUCCGCAAUGGUUUCAAUCCAUUCAACCUCUUUAUUUUCUUCAUGAUCACUGGGUUGUUUGCCUAUACUAAAGACGUUCAGUUCCGAGGUCAUAUUGCCAAAAGAAAGCUUCAUGACACCAUUCCUACAAUUGAUCAAUGCAUUAGAAGUUGCAAGGAAUGGACGUCCUAAGAUGACCGAAAUCUGAGAUGGUGAACUGGAAGCCGGAUGUGUGUCCAGUACGAUAAAGUCGAUAGAAAAAUAGAACUUGUCUACUUGGACCAACACAUCUUC